Molecule: ribosomal RNA, 253 nt
Filed under: uncultured bacterium
Lineage: Bacteria
Description: partial 16S ribosomal RNA
Rfam family: Bacterial small subunit ribosomal RNA
Source: RNAcentral
UACGUAGGGUGCAAGCGUUAAUCGGAAUUACUGGGCGUAAAGCGUGCGCAGGCGGUUUUGUAAGUCUGAUGUGAAAUCCCCGGGCUCAACCUGGGAAUUGCAUUGGAGACUGCAAGGCUAGAAUCUGGCAGAGGGGGGUAGAAUUCCACGUGUAGCAGUGAAAUGCGUAGAUAUGUGGAGGAAUACCGAUGGCGAAGGCAGCCCCCUGGGAUAACACUGACGCUCAUGCACGAAAGCGUGGGGAGCAAACAGG